GGAGAAACAGAGGAGAGUAGUGAAUAACAAGGGAGAACAGAGGAGAGAGAGUAGUGGAUAACAAGGGAGAACAGAGGAGAGUAGUGGAUAACAAGGGAGAACAGAGGAAAGAAGUGGGUAACUAGGGAGAACAGAGGAGAAUAGUGAAUAACAAGGGAGAACAGA
Long non-coding RNA from Xenia sp. Carnegie-2017, 165 nucleotides. RefSeq lists it as uncharacterized. The transcript is spliced from 2 exons. Lineage: Eukaryota; Metazoa; Cnidaria; Anthozoa; Malacalcyonacea; Xeniidae. The record is from RefSeq and is a predicted model, not a curated record.